Molecule: Y RNA, 102 nt
Filed under: Aotus nancymaae (Ma's night monkey)
Lineage: Eukaryota; Metazoa; Chordata; Mammalia; Primates; Aotidae
Description: Y RNA (ENSANAG00000008700.1)
Rfam family: Y RNA
About the family: Y RNAs are components of the Ro ribonucleoprotein particle (Ro RNP), in association with Ro60 and La proteins. The Y RNAs and Ro60 and La proteins are well conserved, but the function of the Ro RNP is not known. In humans the RNA component can be one of four small RNAs -- hY1, hY3, hY4 and hY5.
Source: Rfam by way of RNAcentral
GGCUAGUCCAAGUGCAGUGGUGUUUACAACUAAUUGAUCACAACCAGUUACAGAUUUCUUUGUUCCUUCUCCACUCCCACUGCUUCACUUGACUAGCCUAAA